AAGAGAGGCAGCGGCUGCCGUGAAGGCUGGGAUCGGAUGGGAGAGGUCCUUCUUGGGCUCUAUUUGUUUGUUUGUGACUGGAGCUGCAAAGUUCAGAGCCAAACGUGUUGCUUUCCGGCGGCGGCGACCGCCCCGCUUCACCUGCUCCGCUGACGGGUGCCUACCCGGGGCGGCCCCGCGGCUCUGCGGGUCCUCUGCCCGGCAUCCUGCCUGCCGCUGGGGCCGACGGACGCCAGAGGAGCGGGGGCUGUGUCUCUCGCCUGCCCGCCUUCCCCUCCGCGCCUGCCGGAGGGCAACGGACAGGUGUAGCUACAGAAAGAUAGCAAAUUGA
RNAcentral lists this long non-coding RNA (331 nucleotides) under Parus major (Great Tit). RNAcentral describes it as "lncRNA (ENSPMJG00000001788.1)". The record is from RNAcentral. Lineage: Eukaryota; Metazoa; Chordata; Aves; Passeriformes; Paridae.